Molecule: non-coding RNA, 76 nt
Organism: Myotis brandtii (Brandt's bat)
Lineage: Eukaryota; Metazoa; Chordata; Mammalia; Chiroptera; Vespertilionidae
Source: Rfam
CUCGGGGAAGGAGGGGGUCCUUCAGCCCAGUUUGGGAAAGGGCGCAGGCUAGGCUGAGGGACCCCACUGGUGCACG